UCUUAAGAAACAACCAAAAAAUGUGCAUUAGUUCUGAAUAUGAUUGUGGUUCUGUUUAGAAAAAUAGCUAUGGCUUUAGAACUGUUAAGAGUUUCUUGGGUAUGUUGCCUGCUAAUUGGAGAGAACCAGUUCUCAUAACCCAAAAGGUGAUUAUGGAUAUAUUCCCCUAACUGCACCAAAAGUAACCGGCUCCUAUGCCCCAGCAGAAGCAAUAGCGCCUGUGUCUCGGCAGAAGCAACAAGACCCCGACAGAUGCGGCAAGACACUUGCAGAUGCAGAAGACGCCCUUGCUUUGGCAGAAGCAACAGGACCCCAGCAGAUGUGGCAGGCGCCUUUGCCCCGGCAGA
Long non-coding RNA from Salmo salar (Atlantic salmon), 347 nucleotides. RefSeq lists it as uncharacterized. The record is from RefSeq and is a predicted model, not a curated record. Lineage: Eukaryota; Metazoa; Chordata; Actinopteri; Salmoniformes; Salmonidae.